GUACCAUCCAGAGCGGCCGAGAGACCCGGCUCGACGACGCCGCAGCAACCCCCCGCGCCGGCGGGAGCGGGUGCUAACGCCGGGAUCGAUGGAGG
RNAcentral lists this non-coding RNA (95 nucleotides) under Pseudonocardia thermophila. Its description in RNAcentral is "SAM-I sequence". It matches the Rfam family "SAM riboswitch aptamer (S box leader)". From Rfam's summary of the family: The SAM riboswitch is found upstream of a number of genes which code for proteins involved in methionine or cysteine biosynthesis in Gram-positive bacteria. The SAM riboswitch acts at the level of transcription termination control. Lineage: Bacteria; Bacillati; Actinomycetota; Actinomycetes; Pseudonocardiales; Pseudonocardiaceae. The record is from Rfam by way of RNAcentral.